RNAcentral lists this ribosomal RNA (488 nucleotides) under Salmonella enterica subsp. enterica serovar Dublin. RNAcentral describes it as "partial 23S ribosomal RNA". It matches the Rfam family "Bacterial large subunit ribosomal RNA", at positions 1269 to 1757 of the family's 2925-position model. Lineage: Bacteria; Pseudomonadati; Pseudomonadota; Gammaproteobacteria; Enterobacterales; Enterobacteriaceae. The record is from RNAcentral.
GUUGCUGGAGGUAUCAGAAGUGCGAAUGCUGACAUAAGUAACGAUAAAGCGGGUGAAAAGCCCGCUCGCCGGAAGACCAAGGGUUCCUGUCCAACGUUAAUCGGGGCAGGGUGAGUCGACCCCUAAGGCGAGGCCGAAAGGCGUAGUCGAUGGGAAACGGGUUAAUAUUCCCGUACUUGGUGUUACUGCGAAGGGGGGACGGAGAAGGCUAUGUUGGCCGGGCGACGGUUGUCCCGGUUUAAGCGUGUAGGUGUGUGUUCCAGGUAAAUCCGGUUCACUUUAACACUGAGGCGUGAUGACGAGGCACUACGGUGCUGAAGUAACAAAUGCCCUGCUUCCAGGAAAAGCCUCUAAGCAUCAGGUAACAUCAAAUCGUACCCCAAACCGACACAGGUGGUCAGGUAGAGAAUACCAAGGCGCUUGAGAGAACUCGGGUGAAGGAACUAGGCAAAAUGGUGCCGUAACUUCGGGAGAAGGCACGCUGACAC